GAUGAACGCUGGCGGCGUGCCUAAUACAUGCAAGUCGAGCGAACAGACGAGGAGCUUGCUCCUCUGACGUUAGCGGCGGACGGGUGAGUGACACGUGGAUAACCUACCUAUAAGACUGGGAUAACUUCGGGAAACCGGAGCUAAUACCGGAUAAUAUAUUGAACCGCAUGGUUCAAUAGUGAAAGACGGUUUUGCUGUCACUUAUAGAUGGAUCCGCGCCGCAUUAGCUAGUUGGUAAGGUAACGGCUUACCAAGGCAACGAUGCGUAGCCGACCUGAGAGGGUGAUCGGCCACGCUGGAACUGAGACACGGUCCAGACUCCUACGGGAGGCAGCAGUAGGGAAUCUUCCGCAAUGGGCGAAAGCCUGACGGAGCAACGCCGCGUGAGUGAUGAAGGUCUUCGGAUCGUAAAACUCUGUUAUUAGGGAAGAACAAAUGUGUAAGUAACUAUGCACGUCUUGACGGUACCUAAUCAGAAAGCCACGGCUAACUACGUG
This 497-nucleotide ribosomal RNA is filed under the name uncultured bacterium. Its description in RNAcentral is "partial 16S ribosomal RNA". It matches the Rfam family "Bacterial small subunit ribosomal RNA", at positions 28 to 507 of the family's 1533-position model. The record is from RNAcentral.